ACUGAAUCAAAAAGAGCCUGUUAUUUUUAGACUGGGACAAAAUCUGUCAGCCUAGCUUUACUUUGUGCUUGACAAUACCCAAAAUUUAUAUAGAACUUUCAAAGCUCAACAUUAAGAAAACAAGAAACUCAAAUAAAAACUGGACAAAAGACCUGAACAGACAAUGCACCAGAGAAAAUAAACAGAAGGCAAAUAAGUACUUGAAAGGCUGUUCUACAUCAUUAGCUAUUAAGGAACUGAAAAUUAAACCAUGAUGACAGACCCACUACAUACCUUUCAAAAUGGCAAAAUAAAAAGCUGGCCAGGCACAGUGGCUCACCCCAACACUCUGGGAGGCUGAGGUGAGAACAUUGCUUGAGUUCAGGAGUUUGAGACCAGCCUAAGCAAAGUGAGACCCCAUCUCUACUAAAAAGAAAAUCUAGCCAGGCAUGGUGGCAGGUACCUAUAAUCUUAGCUAGUAGGGAGGCUGAGGCAGGAGAAUUGCUUGAACCCAGGAGUUUGAGGUUGCUAUGAGCAAUGAUUGUGCCUUGGAGCUAUGAUUGUGUACACUCCAGCCUUGGUCUCCAGUGCAUGCAACAGAGUGAGAUUCUGUCUCAAAAAAAUUAAAUAAAUAAAAAAAUAAUAGUUCUGGAGAAGAUUCAGAGCAAUUGGAACUUUUACAUUGCUGGUGGGAAGGCAAAAUCAUAUAGGCAUUCUAGAAAAAACAGCUUGGCAGUUUUUGAUAAGUUAAAUAUACACUUACCAUGUGACCCAAUAAUUCUUUUCCUGUGUAUUUAACUGUAGCAAGAUGUUAAGAUUUAACCUUAAUCAAGAUGUCCUUAAGCAGAUGAAUGAACAAAUUAUGGCGUAUUCAUACAGCAAAAUACUACUUAGUACCAAAAAAGAACAAGUUACUGACUCAUGCAACAUGGGUAGAUUUUAUUUUGCUGAGAGAAGAAACUAUUCUCAAAAGUUUACACACUAGAUGAUUCUGUUUAUCUGACGAUCUCAAAACAAGAGAUUAAAUCAGUGGGUACCAGCAGUUAUUGUGUGGAGAGUUUGACUUUGAAGGCCAUGAGGCAGUUUUGUGGAUGAUGGAAUUCUUCUGUAUCCUGACUGUGGUGACGGUUGUCUGAAUCUAUACAGAGAACCCAAAACCAAUUUUACUGUUGUGUGUUUAUACCAAAAGGGGCAAAAAUGUUGUAUGUUAAUUUUAAACAUAAAAUGUAUAAAGAGAAGGAAGGAGAAAGUGAAGGGAGGACUGUUAUAGAAGACAUGAGACAAUACUACCAAAUGCAAUUUGUGGAUCUUGUUUAGAUCCUGAUUUGAACAAGCUAAUUUCAAAAGGCAUUUUUUGUUACAAUCAAGGGAAAUUUAAUGUGAAUUUGGAAUUAUAUGUUAAAUUUAAGUUUUCAAAAUGUGGCUAUGUAAAAAAAAAAUCAUCAGUGACAUACAGAUUCUGAGAUAUAUUUGUUAUUUUUAGUAUGUUUGAAGUUUUCUGUAAUUUUUUCUUGAAAGUGGGAUUUUAUAGCCGGGCGUUGUGGCGGGCAUCUGUAGUCCCAGCUACUGGGGAGGCUGAGCUUAAGAGAAUCACUUAAGCCCAGGAGUUGAAGGUUGCUGUGAGCUGUGAUGCCACAGCACUCUACCCAGAACAGCAUUCUACCCAGGGUGACAGCUUGAGGCUCUGUUUCAAAUAAAAAAAAAAGAAAGAAAGUGGGAUUUUAAAAAAUAGAGUAGAAUUUCUUUUCAAUAUUUAUUUUAAACCAGUAGACACAGGCCUACAGUUAGUCUCCUUCCCAAUGUCAAAUCUUUCCAAUCAAUCCAAGUAAAUAAAUGCUAUGUGUGCCAAAAUUAAUACUGACUUGAAAAAAAACUCCAAGAAAUCUUACACUUUGAGCAAUAAACUACUAAAAUUACUAGAUUAGUAAAGAUUUGCAGAGUUAUAUUUUAAAAUAGCAAAUCAAAACAAUUUUCAGUGAUUCCAUCGAAGAAAUAAAGGGCAAGAGUAAUUUUAAAGCAAUAAUUAUGAUCCUGAAAAUCUCAGCCAAAAGACAAGAUUACUCAGGCUUUUAAAUUCUCAUUAAUAUUUACAUAGUGGUGUUUUCUCACUGUGUUGGUCCAGCUUGUUCUUUUGAGCAUUAUUAUUAUUAAUCAUUUCUUAAGCCUCAGCAUUGCAUGAGAUACAGAUGAUAAGUUUUCUCCCUAGGGGACAACAAUCAAAACCACUAAAGCAAAAUAAAGAUUAACUGUGUAAGAAAUGAAAACCGAAUGAAAGGUUAAGAAGCACACUCUGAAUUUUUUGCUUUCAGCUUUAAGCCCAUGAUGUAAUACGUGUUUCUAUUAGGGGGUAUAAAACUGUUUAUAUUGGGAGACGCCUGUGGCUCAAAGGAGUAGGGCGCUGGCCCCAUACGCCGGAGGUGGCAGGUUCAAACCCAGCCCGGCCAAAAACUGUAAAAAAAAAAAACAAAACCCAAACAAAACUGUUUAUAUUAGGGGCAUAAAACAAGCCUAAAGUUGGUAAGGCAAAGAAAACCUUCAGCUUUGAAGACACAGAAUACAUCCCAGAGAUCACUGCAAAAGAAUAUCCUACCUUAGAAAUCAUUCCACUUUCUGCUAUAUAAAAACUACUAGAAUCUAUUUCUAGCUGUAAAGGACUGUAAUCACUUUGUGGGAGCAGGGGCAACGUAGAGAGAGAGGGAGGAGAGAGAGAUAUUAAAGUCUGCCGAGUAGACUUUUUUGUUUCUUUUCUUUUGGUAAUACCAUCCUCUGCUUCAGGAUGCUUCUCCCAGUCCAUGUAUUCCUGAUGGGAAUGUCAAUCAUAGAGCAUUUCUCCUCUACCUUACAAUGACUUUGUGCUAAAGGAUGCAGGCCUGAAGCAGCUGAAGGUCAAUUUUACAGGACUCAUAAUGAACUUCUUUGACUGUGUAGGCCACUUUGCAAAGAAAAAUAGAAAUUAAUGAGUAUAGCAUAAACGCUGACACUUCUAAGCCCUAAAAUCAGGCCCUUGAGGCCCUUCUUGUUAUAAUUCUUUAUACUGUAUGAGCUACUCCACAAGCCUUUUAAACCAAUACAUCUAAGUUUUUGCUUAGGAUGGUUGGAAUUGGGUUUCUUUUGUCAUUUGCACCUUAAAAAAUCCUGAGAAGUAAAAACAACUUGCCCAGAGUCAUCAUUCAAACCCAGGUCUGCCCACCUCUACACAGUAGGCUUUUCCUACCUACUAUUAACUAUUAACUUUCCAUGUUAAUUUACUGUUUAUCUUCCAGCUGCUUCAUUCCUGAAAUCUAGUUUCCUUCAGGAUUGGGAAUGGAAAGGAAAGGGGCUGUGCAGGGAAAAUGGGGGUUGUAGGUAUCACUUUCUGAUAGUAGAAAGGAAAUGAGAGCCACAAAUACAAUAACAUUUAGCAAGAGUUAGUAGCAACUUGACCCAUUUUGUAUAGUUAUUUAAUGUAUAUUUGAAAGAACCUAAGCUGGCAACCAUACAAUCUUCUGCCCAAGCACAAAUCAAAGCUGUGUAAUUCUAGGAAAGGAUGAUAUGAAAAUACUUUCUCUUUGCUCUGCUCUAUCCAGUUCUAAUGAAUGUAUUUUAAAAAUGUUUAAUACAGCUUGGCGCCUGUGGCUUAAGCGGCUAAGGCGCCAGCCACAUACACCUGAGCUAGCUGGUUCGAAUCCAGCCCAGGCCGUCAAACAAUGACGGCUGCAAAAAAAAAAAAAAAAUAGCGGGGCGUUGUGGCAGGUGCCUGUAGUCCCAGCUACUUGGCAGGCACAGGCAGAAUUGCUUGAGCCCAGGAGUUGGAGGUUGCUGUGAGCUGUGACCCCACGGCACUCUACCCAGGGUGACAGCUUGAGGCUCUGUCUCAAAAAAAAAAAAGUUUAAUACUAGCAAUACCAAAUGAAAUGUUUUCUGUGUUCAGCAAGAGUACAUCUAUUUCCAUUUUAAAGGUACUUUAUUUACUGUGUCACUGCUAUAUGCAAAGAAAAAGAGGCAAUGAAAUAAUGCUAGUUACAAUUUAAAUUAGUGGGUUUUUAAUAAUUACUUUUAAGUCUUUUUUUAUUAUUAUUAUUUUUUUAAGAGACAGAGUUUUGCUUUGUCGCCCUGGGUAGAGUGGUGUCACAGCUCACAGCCACCUCCAACUCCUGGGCUUAGGCGAUUCUCUUGCCUCAGCCUCCCGAGUAGCUGGGACUAUAGGCGCUCGCCACAACACAUGGCUAUUUUUUUUUUUUUUUGCAGUUUUGGCCCGGGGCCUGGUUUGAACCCACCACCCUCAGUAUAUGGGGUCAGCGCCCUACUCAUGGAGCCACAGGCACUGCCCUACUUUUAAGUCUUAAAUGUCAUUUCUUCAGUUGCCAAUUUUGAAUGCUUACUAAUUGCACUUACGAUUUGCAGUUUUUCGCCCAGGCUGGGUUUGAACCCACCGCCUCUGGUAUAUGGGGCCAGCGCCCUACUCCUUUGAGCCACAGGUGCCGCCUUGCAAUUAUGAUUUGAACUUAUCUUGUUUACUCAUUUACUUUUUUGUUGUUGUUGUUGAGACAGGGUCCCACCCUAUGCCUCUGAGCAGAGUGCAGUGGGCGUGGUAGCUCACCACAACCUCAGACUUGGGCUGCGGGCACCCCGCUGCCUCAGCCUCCGGAAGCCGUUGGGAUUACAGCUGCUCUCCGCCGCGCCCGGCUGGGUUUUUCCAUUUUUUUCAUGAGUGGGGGUCUCACUGUCGCUCAAGCGAGUCUCGAACUCCUGAGCUCAAGCGAUUCUCCCUCCUCAGCCU
Long non-coding RNA from Nycticebus coucang (slow loris), 4738 nucleotides. RefSeq lists it as uncharacterized. The record is from RefSeq and is a predicted model, not a curated record. NCBI's taxonomy places the organism in Eukaryota, Metazoa, Chordata, Mammalia, Primates, Lorisidae. The transcript is spliced from 2 exons.